CUGCACCUCCAUCCAGCAGAGCGUCUUCAUCUAUGGUGGGCAAACGAUGUUGGGGUUUCUUAUGCUGUUGUUCCUGUUGCUUUGCUUUGUUCUUGUU
Drosophila navojoa is the source of this 97-nucleotide long non-coding RNA. The record is from RefSeq and is a predicted model, not a curated record. Lineage: Eukaryota; Metazoa; Arthropoda; Insecta; Diptera; Drosophilidae.